This 464-nucleotide ribosomal RNA is filed under the name uncultured bacterium. Its description in RNAcentral is "partial 16S ribosomal RNA". It matches the Rfam family "Bacterial small subunit ribosomal RNA", at positions 338 to 795 of the family's 1533-position model. The record is from RNAcentral.
CCUACGGGAGGCAGCAGUAGGGAAUUUUCGUCAAUGGGCGCAAGCCUGAACGAGCGAUGCCGCGUGAGUGAAGAAGGCCUUCGGGUCGUAAAGCUCUGUUGCGGGGGAAAAAAGGCAGCAUCAGGAAAUGGGUGCUGACUGAUGGUGCCCCGCCAGAAAGUCACGGCUAACUCCGUGCCAGCAGCCGCGGUAAUACGGAGGAUGCGAGCGUUAUCCGGAUUUAUUGGGUUUAAAGGGUGCGUAGGCGGGCUUUUAAGUCAGCGGUAAAAAUUCGGGGCUCAACCCCGUCCGGCCGUUGAAACUGGGGGCCUUGAGUGGGCGAGAAGAAGGCGGAAUGCGUGGUGUAGCGGUGAAAUGCAUAGAUAUCACGCAGAACCCCGAUUGCGAAGGCAGCCUUCCGGCGCCCUACUGACGCUGAGGCACGAAAGUGCGGGGAUCGAACAGGAUUAGAUACCCCAGUAGUC